Molecule: ribosomal RNA, 301 nt
Filed under: uncultured bacterium
Lineage: Bacteria
Description: partial 16S ribosomal RNA
Rfam family: Bacterial small subunit ribosomal RNA
Source: RNAcentral
CAGCCGCCGCGGGAAAACGGAGGGUGCGAGCGUUAAUCGGAAUAACUGGGCGUAAAGGGCACGCAGGCGGUUAUUUAAGUGAGGUGUGAAAGCCCCGGGCUUAACCUGGGAAUUGCAUUUCAGACUGGGUAACUAGAGUACUUUAGGGAGGGGUAGAAUUCCACGUGUAGCGGUGAAAUGCGUAGAGAUGUGGAGGAAUACCGAAGGCGAAGGCAGCCCCUUGGGAAUGUACUGACGCUCAUGUGCGAAAGCGUGGGGAGCAAACAGGAUUAGAUACCCGCGUAGUCCCUGUCUCUUAUAC